GCCGGGUGAGGUGGUGCAGGCCUGUAAUCUCAGCAUCUUGGGAGGUUGAGGCAGGAGGAUCACGAGUUCAAAGCCAGCCUCAGCCAUAGCAAGCAAGGCCCUUAGCAACUCAGCGAGACCCUGUCUCUA
This 129-nucleotide small RNA is filed under the name Marmota monax (woodchuck). Lineage: Eukaryota; Metazoa; Chordata; Mammalia; Rodentia; Sciuridae. The record is from RNAcentral.